This 492-nucleotide ribosomal RNA is filed under the name uncultured bacterium. RNAcentral describes it as "partial 16S ribosomal RNA". It matches the Rfam family "Bacterial small subunit ribosomal RNA", at positions 29 to 507 of the family's 1533-position model. The record is from RNAcentral.
AGUGAACGCUGGCGGUAGGCCUAACACAUGCAAGUCGAACGGCAGCACGGUAAGAGCUUGCUCUUACGGGUGGCGAGUGGCGGACGGGUGAGGAAUACAUCGGAAUCUACUUUUUCGUGGGGGAUAAUGUAGGGAAACUUACGCUAAUACCGCAUACGACCUACGGGUGAAAGCAGGGGAUCUUCGGACCUUGCGCGAUUGAAUGAGCCGAUGUCGGAUUAGCUAGUUGGCGGGGUAAAGGCCCACCAAGGCGACGAUCCGUAGCUGGUCUGAGAGGAUGAUCAGCCACACUGGAACUGAGACACGGUCCAGACUCCUACGGGAGGCGGCAGUGGGGAAUAUUGGACAAUGGGCGCAAGCCUGAUCCAGCCAUACCGCGUGGGUGAAGAAGGCCUUCGGGUUGUAAAGCCCUUUUGUUGGGAAAGAAAAGCAGCAGGUUAAUACCCCGCUGUUCUGACGGUACCCAAAGAAUAAGCACCGGCUAACUUCGUG